AACUGGCUGGAGGCCUAACACAUGCAAGUCGAGCGCGCCUUUCGGGGUGAGCGGCGGACGGGAUAGUAACGCGUGGGAAUAUGCCCUUUGGUACGGAAUAGCCUCUGGAAACGGAGAGUAAUACCGUAUGAGCCCUUCGGGGGAAAGAUUUAUCGCCAAAGGAUUAGCCCGCGUUAGAUUAGGUAGUUGGUGGGGUAAUGGCCUACCAAGCCUACGAUCUAUAGCUGGUUUUAGAGGAUGAUCAGCAACACUGGGACUGAGACACGGCCCAGACUCCUACGGGAGGCAGCAGUGGGGAAUCUUGGACAAUGGGGGCAACCCUGAUCCAGCCAUGCCGCGUGAGUGAUGAAGGCCUUAGGGUCGUAAAGCUCUUUCGCCUGUGAAGAUAAUGACGGUAGCAGGUAAAGAAACCCCGGCUAACUCCGUGCCAGCAGCCGCGGUAAUACGGAGGGGGUUAGCGUUGUUCGGAAUUACUGGGCGUAAAGCGCACGUAGGCGGACCAGAAAGUUGGGGGUGAAAUCCCGGGGCUCAACCCCGGAACUGCCUCCAAAACUAUUGGUCUAGAGUUCGAGAGAGGUGAGUGGAAUUCCAAGUGUAGAGGUGAAAUUCGUAGAUAUUUGGAGGAACACCAGUGGCGAAGGCGGCUCACUGGCUCGAUACUGACGCUGAGGUGCGAAAGUGUGGGGAGCAAACAGGAUUAGAUACCCUGGUAGUCCACACCGUAAACGAUGAAUGCCAGUCGUCGGGUAGCAUGCUAUUCGGUGACACACCUAACGGAUUAGGCAUUCCGCCUGGGGAGUACGGUCGCAAGAUUAAAACUCAAAUGAAUUGACGG
This 835-nucleotide ribosomal RNA is filed under the name uncultured bacterium. Its description in RNAcentral is "bacterial SSU rRNA". It matches the Rfam family "Bacterial small subunit ribosomal RNA", at positions 33 to 916 of the family's 1533-position model. The record is from RNAcentral.